UACGAAGGGUGCAAGCGUUGUUCGGAAUCAUUGGGCGUAAAGCGCGCGCAGGCGGAUUAAUAAGUCAGGUGUGAAAUCUCGGAGCUCAACUCCGAAACUGCGCCUGAAACUAUUAGUCUAGAAUGUCGGAGGGGGCAGGGGAAUUUCACGUGUAGGGGUAGAAUCCGUAGAGAUGUGAAGGAACACCGGAGGCGAAGGCGCCUGCCUGGACGACUAUUGACGCUGAGGCGCGAAAGCGUGGGGAGCAAAC
This 250-nucleotide ribosomal RNA is filed under the name uncultured bacterium. RNAcentral describes it as "partial 16S ribosomal RNA". It matches the Rfam family "Bacterial small subunit ribosomal RNA", at positions 524 to 773 of the family's 1533-position model. The record is from RNAcentral.